UUAAUAUACCAGGACUGGUGCUGCGUUCAGGCAACCGCGGAAAUGUGGUUGGAGGAGAGGCAGUGAUGUGUUAACAAGCGUGUGAACCUUCAGAACAAACAACUCAGGCAGGUGCUUCAGGCUGGAGAGCUUUUAAAGGGAGGCGGUGAAGGCAGCACGAGGCGUCAUGUGACUCUCAGCAGCAGGAUAACGGAAACGGGCGGAGAGAUUCAAAGACGCUGAGUAGAAAUCCAGGCAGGACCCUUUUUUCCGGUUCAGCCACGUUAUUUCUGUGCGUCUGGAUCAGAAAUGGAAGAAUAUACCUCCAAACAGUGUCACGGCCUUCAAAAGUCAAAUCUACACUGACUGAUUUUAGUUCACACGAGCUCUCUGAUAUGAAGUUUAAUCAAGUUAUGUUUGUCAAGUGAAGUUCCACCCGCUGAAGUGCUAUAAGACUGCACAGCUGAUUAUUUUUCAUCAUUGGUAUAACAUUCUGAUUUAUUUGGAAUCAGUUUAACACGUUCAAGUCGCUCUUUGCUCCAGACAGCUUUAAUUUAGCUCCGUUCAGGCUGAUUAAACGACUUUAUCUGUGUCAACAUUUUGGAGUUGAGCUCCUGUGGAUGUCUGAACACUUCCUGCAGGAGGUUCAUGGCAGACUAUAAUAAAUUAUUCUUUUUAUUUUGUAAUGUGUUAUAGCUAUUUCCUGGCAUUAACUGCAGUU
This is a long non-coding RNA of Acanthochromis polyacanthus (spiny chromis), 700 nucleotides long. RefSeq lists it as uncharacterized. The transcript is spliced from 3 exons. The record is from RefSeq and is a predicted model, not a curated record. Lineage: Eukaryota; Metazoa; Chordata; Actinopteri; Pomacentridae.